UGUGUUUGAUUUUCUUUUUAUUUAUUUAUCAUGUGACCUUUAUUGUUACAAGACAAUCAGGAAAUACACAUUAAAGUAUGCUGACUUAAAAAAUAAAAUGAAAACAUUGUGAGGCCCUUCAGAGGCGUGAGGAACAUGUUUUUUAUGUAUU
Molecule: long non-coding RNA, 151 nt
Organism: Sebastes umbrosus (honeycomb rockfish)
Lineage: Eukaryota; Metazoa; Chordata; Actinopteri; Perciformes; Sebastidae
Exons: 3
Source: RefSeq, a predicted model, not a curated record